Molecule: ribosomal RNA, 742 nt
Filed under: uncultured bacterium
Lineage: Bacteria
Description: bacterial SSU rRNA
Rfam family: Bacterial small subunit ribosomal RNA
Source: RNAcentral
AGAGUUUGAUCAUGGCUCAGAGCGAACGCUGGCGGCAGGCUUAACACAUGCAGGUCGAACGGGCACUUCGGUGCUAGUGGCAGACGGGUGAGUAACACGUGGGAACGUACCUUUCGGUUCGGAAUAAUACAGGGAAACUUGUACUAAUACCGGAUACGCCCUUUGGGGGAAAGAUUUAUCGCCGAUUGAUCGGCCCGCGUCUGAUUAGCUAGUUGGUGAGGUAAUGGCUCACCAAGGCGACGAUCAGUAGCUGGUCUGAGAGGAUGAUCAGCCACACUGGGACUGAGACACGGCCCAGACUCCUACGGGAGGCAGCAGUGGGGAAUAUUGGACAAUGGGCGCAAGCCUGAUCCAGCCAUGCCGCGUGAGUGAUGAAGGCCUUAGGGUUGUAAAGCUCUUUUGUCCGGGAAGAUAAUGACUGUACCGGAAGAAUAAGCCCCGGCUAACUUCGUGCCAGCAGCCGCGGUAAUACGAAGGGGGCUAGCGUUGCUCGGAAUCACUGGGCGUAAAGGGCGCGUAGGCGGACUCUUAAGUCGGGGGUGAAAGCCCAGGGCUCAACCCUGGAAUUGCCUUCGAUACUGAGAGUCUUGAGUUCGGAAGAGGUUGGUGGAACUGCGAGUGUAGAGGUGAAAUUCGUAGAUAUUCGCAAGAACACCAGUGGCGAAGGCGGCCAACUGGUCCGAUACUGACGCUGAGGCGCGAAAGCGUGAGGAGCAAACAGGAUUAGAUACCCCGGUAGUCC